CACACACACAUUUAUACGUUAAUUCCAGACCCCUAGUUUAUCCAUUUUGGAUUCUUUAAAAGGGUGAUUACAGUGUCUAGGAACAGCUCGUUCUUUGUUCUUUCAGGGUCAAGGUUCUUAAGAAUUCACUGCUCAGACAGACAUAGGGCAUCGUCCUCCUCCAGCUCAAGUCAAAUCUUCCAAACACUUAUUAAGGCCCUUCAGAGCUGAUGAGACAAAGCACAGGCAGCAUCUGCCCAAUAUAAAAUAUGCACAGUAACACUAUCUUAAUUAGAUGUACAUGUCUCUGAAGAUAUAAAUAAAUGCUUCCUUUUUGAUAUGUCUGAUUUAAUAGCCUAAUGACAGGGGAAUGUUGCUGAAAUAUAAUUCAGGGGGUGAGGGAGAAAUUAAUAAACUCAAAUAUUUAAAGCUCAACAGCAAUUAACAGCCCAUUUAAAACGAAUUUCCAAUUUUAAAUUGUAUUUCUCCUCAUCCAACCAGGACUAAGCCCCGGGGUUCAUCAUCAUGCAUUUUCAGGCCGAGCAGGGUGCAGCGCCCUGUGCUUGGGAAGCAGCUUCAGAUUCCACUUUCCGGGGGCAGCCUGCCGUGAGACCAGCCCGGCAGAGAGGAAGGCGGAGGCCCGCCUGAGAGGCCGGGCGCAGGCUUUCCCGCUGUCCGCUGCGCUGUGUUAGCCUCUCUCACGUCCUUAGGGAUUUGGACUUCGACGUUCAGCCUGCGUGUUCAGCUGCACACACUCGCACGUGUGCAAACCAGAUGUGGUUUCUCUUGAGGGUCCCCAGGCCUCACGGAUGGUCUCCCUGGGCACCCCGCCGAGUCCUGACUUCCUUGGUGGCAUAUGGCAGAAACAUGAAGGCAGACUCUUUACCCACUAAACUACACGGGAAGAUCUACAAGGGUGUGCUGGCUCUUCCUAAAACAUGCUCCACCCAACUGGGGCUGCCGGAAGCGCACAGGAGUGGAUGGAAACAAUGACAUCCAGGCUUGCUCCACUGUCAAGUUUCAGGUUCCCCAAGGAGAAUCUGGCUCCAGUGAAGUGUGAGAGCAACCAGCCACGGUACACAAGGACCCAAGCACCUGGGCCAUUAGCGUGAAGAUGCUACCAUGCUUCAGGCAGCCUCUGGAAGCCUCAACUGUCCGCUCCUGAGAGUAAGAAGGAAGAAGGGAAACAGAAGCAGGGCCUGACCACAGAGGAUGCCCAGGACCAGUUUAUAGACUCCCAAGGACUAUUAACCUUCUGGAGAAGGAAAAAAAAAAAAAAUACCCUUCUUGUAUCUAGGACAUGCUGGAUGCUAAUUUAAUGUGGCAAUGAGAUAGAAGUCCGCUCAGGCUGCUGCCAACCUCACUGGAUUGGAAUGCCGUCUACUUAGCAUAGAAGUCAAACAAUUCCCUGGCAAUAGAUUGCCUUCCACUUGUAGGUCUACUAAAUAAAUAGAAAAGUAAUUAACAGUGGGCGAUGGCAGAUAUAUCAGAGGGGAUUUCAUUACAGCAGAACAACAGAGGGAACCAGGAAGUCACUUUGUGUCCCAGCAUCCGAUGGGGCUCUCAUGCUCCAUCUCUGCGAGAGAAGAAAUUUCAGAAUUUCCUAUCUUCACUUUAAUCAACAGGGAAGAGAAAAAUCUGAAAUGCCUGAAAUUAGUCCCCAAAUAAAUAAUUCUCCUUAUUGUCCCAUUUAAUUAUUUUGGUCCUGGAACUUGUGGAUGAUUAUACCUUUUUUAUUGUAUUUUUGCUUUUCUUCCUUCCUUCCUUUCUUUUUUUUUUUUUUUUUUUUUUUGGAGGGG
Capra hircus (goat) is the source of this 1778-nucleotide long non-coding RNA. RefSeq lists it as uncharacterized. NCBI's taxonomy places the organism in Eukaryota, Metazoa, Chordata, Mammalia, Artiodactyla, Bovidae. The record is from RefSeq and is a predicted model, not a curated record. The transcript has 5 exons.